GAUGAUGUUUUAAUAUUGUGUAAAUAUGUAAUUUGUUAUUUUAAUAUUUCGCAGGUAUUUGUCAGAUAUUGUUGUCUGCCAAAUAGUAUUUAUUCUAUUAGUUUUCUCAGUCAGGUACCCUUUAUCUGAUUGGCUAAUAGCACUGCAUGCUUUUCACGUGCACACACUACAUGAACAGCAGACAUGUUUGACGGGUUUUGACAGGCGACAGAUCAGAAUACAUUAUAGGUUUUCACACUCUUGUUGACCACCGGCAUUGUUUACGCUCGUGUACCACAUACAGGGGCGUUGUUUGCAAUGACAUAAUGAACUUUAUGAAGUAAAUCAUUUCCAAACGU
This is a long non-coding RNA of Gigantopelta aegis, 338 nucleotides long. RefSeq lists it as uncharacterized. The transcript is spliced from 3 exons. NCBI's taxonomy places the organism in Eukaryota, Metazoa, Mollusca, Gastropoda, Neomphalida, Peltospiridae. The record is from RefSeq and is a predicted model, not a curated record.